Molecule: long non-coding RNA, 5345 nt
Organism: Chroicocephalus ridibundus (black-headed gull)
Lineage: Eukaryota; Metazoa; Chordata; Aves; Charadriiformes; Laridae
Exons: 5
Source: RefSeq, a predicted model, not a curated record
CUGCGCCCGGCCCCCGGGCAGGCGGGGCGGGACCGAAAGAAAGAGCCGAGUCACGGGCUGGAACGCCGGGAGGGCUCGAUGGGGGUGCCGUCAGUUCCUCUCAGGGAUGGUGUGUGCUUCCCGCUGCCCUCCCCGCCUUUUGGAUUCCUCUUCUAAAUGUUAUGCUAUAAACGUGAACCUUACUGAAGUUAUUAGUAUCCUGUUUGGAUGCAGAAGCCAGCACUAGGAACUAAAAUGGCUGCUAGGAGUGCAAAAAAAUCUAUAUGAAGAUACCCUGUGGCUUCAGCUGCUGUGAAAAAGGAGGAAAUGAUAAGGAAGCAGGUGAAGGAGGUGGCAUUUACAUAAGAAGAAAAAGGAAAUUCACUAAAGGGAAUCACUUCUGUAAGAUCUGGACCUGCUGGGGAGGACUUGAAGGAAGGCUGGCUUCCUGAAUCACGACUGGCACUUCAGGAGGAGAUUUUGACUUCCUACUUUCCUUCUGCAUGAUCUUCAGUUUCUUUUCCAGCUGUCUGCUGGCCACUUCCUCCCAGCUCUAGGCAACUUCAUCCAAAAGAGUGUGCCAUGACUUGGCUGAAGGAGAUUUCUCCCCCCAUUGCAGGAGGGAGUCAGCCCUUUGGCAGGCAUGAGGGUCACACAGAACUCAAGCACUGCCUUCCUGGCAGCCACAGCCCCAGGGGAGGCAGGAGGUAACAGUGGGCCUGGGGCGGUAAUUGUGACCCUGGGGGGGACAAAACCCCGGUUUGGGGCAGACACCCCUCCAGGGCUGCGGGCAUUGGGCAUCUGUGCCGGGUCUUUGCCCCUCUCCUGGCUAUGGGGGUGUCCCUCUAGGUCCUUGCCCACGGUGCCUAGGCUAGGGCAAGUGAGGCUGGGGGCAGAUGGGGGCCAUAGGGCAGAUCAGGGGCUCUGGGGGGAAAACGUGUGGGCAGGAAGUAGGGUCAAUGGCCCUCACCCAGUGGCAAGUAACCCCCCCAAUGGUAAAUCACACCCCCAGGGGUAGAUACACCCUGAAAGGGCAAAUCUUCCCCCCAGGGAAAAUGCCCUGCCAAGGGGAAGGUAUCCCCCCAGGGGCAGAUACCUCCUCCCCUUGUGUAAUCCCCCACCCAGGGGCACAUACUCCCCGCAGGUGCAGAUGCCUGUAGCAAGUGAUGCCUGAGCUCUGUGUGGGGCAGCUGAGAGGGGUAAAUGCCCCCUCUCUGGCCUGGAGGAUGGGCAGAUCCUGCCUCUGGGGCAGGAGCCAGGGCAGAGCCGGGGGCCAUGAGCUGAAUUGUCACUGCAGGGCUCAGGACCAAACUGUAGAGAAGUUUAGAAUAAACAGCAACUAUCAAUAAAUUCAUUUGUAAUAAAUAACAACCACAUUAUAAAAUAGAUUAUCUGUAUUCUGUUCUUGAUUAUGUGGACAAGUGUGUUUAUUUGGGGCUGUGUCACUGUUUAAUUAGAAUAUUUGAAAUGUGCUGAACGUCUUUAAUGCAUCAAACUUAACUUCUCCACAGUUUGUAUCUAGAAAGUCUCAAUAAUUACUCAAAAAGUUAAAUGCUUCCCAUAAAGUUCAGGUAUUCGUUAAUUAUCUUGAAGGGAAUUUGACUCCAUUUUACCUUUGGCAUAUGAUGUUUGGCACCAGCCCUAUGAUUUUAAGGGUAUCAAAGCUCCCUAAAGAAAAGUCAUUGCAUGAGGUAUUCCUAAGUAUUUCCUUCCAAUGCUAUUAGUUCUAAAGCUGUAAAUCACUCGCUUUUCUGGGUUUUAAACCGUACUCCAGCAGUAAGAUCAAUAUAUUAGGCUACUGUGCUCAAACAUACUGUAAAGUUGGAAGGCAAGAUCCCUGGGAUAAUGGUAGUCUGCAGGAGAAAAAGACCACAGCAGAAUCAGUUAUAAACUCUCACUAAAGUUUCAUUUUUAUUUUGGAAAUUCUGAUUUAACAAGAAUGAUACAAACAUACAAAAAGUUGCUGGGACUGGGCCAUCCAUACAAGUUGCACAGUAGUAUAUUCUAAAAUAGAUGUGUAAAUAUGUUUUCCCAGCAUUCUUACCCCCAAAUUUGAUGGUUUUAUUCUGAACUAUAUACUUUCUUCCUAUUAUUUAUGGGAGUAGGCUUAAUUACCUCCUAAAUAGGAAUUCUCCUAGCCUGUUUCCAGAGCUCCCUGACAGACCCAGUAGUUCCUGGGUUUCUGACACAGAGAGGUCUCCGGCAGUGGCAGAAGGCCUGGUUGUGGGAGGUGCCCGUUAGGAUCACAGGUUGGACGACCUUGGCUUUCCAUUAUCCUUCAGAGAAGGUUAAAUGGAAUUGCCUCUAUCGAGACGAAUAUUUAUAUGUGAGCUCUGCAGAGGUCAGGUUGUGGAAAUUAAUACAUGUGGACUUUAUAGCUCCAAUUAAGUGCGCAACUGGAUUCCUUUAUCACCAUCUGUCCAGCAAUAUUACACUUCAGCUCCCUGCAGUGGAUAAUGCAGGAGGGGCCUGGCAUUGAUUUUUUUUCUUGGUGGAUUUUAAAAUAAGUGAUUUUUUUUUACCAAUGUAUGGAUGCUCUACAUCUUCAGGAUUUUUAUAUCUCAUAGGAUAUUAAGCAUAUGAGGAUUUAAGUAUGCUAAAAAGUCUCCGUGUUUUAGCUUGAGAGUUCAUUAUGCAGCAAAAAAUUAUUUCCAUUAUAAAACAGAUGGGCUGGUGUAUUCACUUUUCUCGUAUACAUAGAGACUGGUUUCUUUACGUCAAAUUCUCACAUUUUUCUAGGCUGUACAUUCAUAAGUCUUUGACUUUUCAGAUCUUCAGCUGAACUUCUUUCAGUUGUACUUGAGUAUGACUCAAGGUCAAGUUGUCCAGACUUCUGGUAGUUUUUUCCAUUCUCCACAGAGAUGUCUGUAACUGAAAGGAGGUGCCCCAAACUGUUCUUCACCAAAAGCCUUUUUGAGCUCAUUGGAGUGGAAGAAUUAUUUUGCUCUUCUUGUGUUUGACAGUCUUUUUCUACAUUUCAGUAAAGCACUCACAUUUUUUUGUAACACCAAAUCGCUGUUGACUCAUUUUCUAUUUGUGAACUGCUAUGAACCAAGACUUCUUUCUGUAAAGUAACUGCUUAGACACUUUGACUCCAUCUUAUGUUUUUGCAGUCAAUUAUUCCCAGCUAUACAUAAUAGUUGCUCACCUUAUUGGAUUAAAUCCUAUUUACUUCAGAUCUUUGUUCCAACUUGUCAUUAUUUGUUCAAUUCUAAUUAUAUUUACUAAAAUGCUUGCAGCUCUCACCUGAACAGAAUAUCCUCCACAAACAUGAUAAAAAUAUUCUUUAUCCUAUUGCAUCCAGAAGCAGUUCAGGACUCAGGAUGUAAGUAUCUGGAGAUCUCACUUGCUACAAAGUCCUUAUUUGAUUGUGAAUCACUUGACACUACUUGUGAGUACCAUUUUCUAACCAUUUCAUCUAAGUUUCGUGUAGCUAAUGCUCCUCUGUCCUCCUUAGGAGAGUAUUAGAUGAUACCUCAUCAGAAGCCAUGCUGAAGUCAAGAUUCCAGAUUUGGUUUUGAGAUGUUAUUGUUGAUCGUUAUUAAUCUUAUCAUCCAAGGCCUUACAAAUAAUUUACUUAAUAAUUUGUUCCAGUAUUUUGCCUUCUACAAAGUAAAUCUGAUUUGCCUCUCAUUCCCAGCCUUUUCUUUCCUUUUUAAGGUAGGCACCAUGUUCUUCUUCCUGAUCUCGUGGAACCUCAGCUAUCUUUUCUGAGUUCGUGAAGGUAAUUGCGAAUAGCCUGGAGAUUGCUUAGCCAUUUCACUAAAUAUAUUGGCUGAAACUUACCUGGCACAUGACUUCUGUAAGCAUCUUACUUGAAUAGAUUCUGUUUCUUUCCUUAGUUUAGCUUUUGUUUUUAUGUUGCUAAUGUUAACUAUGUAAGCCAUCCGAUUACAGGUGACAUUUUGGAGAAGAACAAAGCCAAAAAAAAAUGAGGCUUUGGUCUUCCUCGCAUGACUCGGUAAUAGUUUCCUUGCCUACCUGAGGGCAAGUCAGUUCUUCCCUGGUAAUCUUGCACGUAAGCUUUUUGUUGUUACGCUCUAUGGCUCUUUGAUGGUUUCAGCUCUUUUGUAUGUUAACCUUUCUGGAUUUUCCCUACACCUUACAAGAAACACUUUGUUGUCAGUUUUAAUAAUUUAAACUAGAUUCUGCUUUUUUCAAAAGGUGCAAGCCAUUGUAAUGGUUUAGAUUUUGCCAGACUCUUCUCUUCCUGGCUUUUCUCAUUGCCAGGGUCUGUUUGCGGCCUUCAUGUUCAUUCUAUCGGAAAUGGCAAACGUUCCAGAGUGUACUUUUCAUUAGAUUUGGCAUUCAGGGGGAUUUGGGAUUCAAACCGUGAGUUUACUGAAACUUACUUUCUUCAAGUCUGAUGGUUUAAUUUUUCUUCCUUCCCUUUUGAAGAGUCAUUAACUUACCUAAGGGAGGUUGGACUAGAUGAUCUCCAGAGGUCCCUUCCAACCCUAUGAUUCUAAUGACCACUGUCACCCAUAUAGUCUCCUAAAUUCCUUUCUGAGUAGGUAUCUUGCUAUUUCAAGUCUCAUUAUCACCAGUUCCUAUGCUUUGGAUGAUUUUAUUCAAAUUAAAGUACCAUGCACUUAAUCUUUUUCGUUUGAGGGUUGCUAACGGGUCUUUGCUGUGACAGUGUUCUCUACCUUUCCUUUUUGCCAUUAUCCAAAUAUUUUCAGUAGCUCUGUGCCUUAUGUUCCUUUUCUCCUACCUGUGCUUCCUGAACAAACUCUACCUUUCCAUAGCAAUAACCAGUCAUGACAAUUUAUUCACGUUUUUAGUCCUGAAUAUAAUGACUUUCAGUUCCUCCUGUUUAUUACCCAUAUUCUUACAUAAGCGCGCAGCAUCUGAGUACGAUGCCACAGAAACUGUUUUCUUAUUGUUCCUCUAUUGUAAUAUUCAGUAAAAUCGUUCCUCUCCUCCCCCUUAAUUUUUCUUCUUUCCCCAUGCUUUUGUGGUUUAUCUGAACCCUGUGGUGUGAUAAAAAUAAUCUGAACGUAAUUUAAUUUACACCAGCUGCAGACAACUAGCAAAGAUACGUAACAACAACCAAGUGGGGGACUGGCAUAGCAUAGGACUGUCCAAAUAGUCCCGCUUUGCUUUUCUCUGGGAAAUGCUCUCCUUUGUCUGCUUGCCUUGCCAGCUUUGAGACCGGUGCGUUACCAAAAAGACCACAUAACAAAUAAACCAUCUCUCUGCCUGUUUGAGAAUUGAGAAUUUCUUACAGCAUACAAAUGGGCAUUAAGGAGAAUUCAACACUUGGACAUGCCAACUUUCUUUCAGUAGCUGUGCUCGUACAGCUCCAAAAUCAGACUUCGUGUUGUCGCUCUACACGUAGCUGUGCUUCAGCCCUUACCCCGCAG